This 748-nucleotide long non-coding RNA is filed under the name Vulpes vulpes (red fox). Its description in RNAcentral is "lncRNA (ENSVVUG00000008906.1)". The record is from RNAcentral. Lineage: Eukaryota; Metazoa; Chordata; Mammalia; Carnivora; Canidae.
AAAAUAAUGAAAAAAAUGAUGUGUGGAAACAGAAAUCAGACCUAGAAAAUUCAGUCCCCCAUAAACGAGUUCUUUGGGUUUUGGAGAUAAAUAUGGCUGUAAAAAGAGUACUCUCAGUGGUCUUGACUUUUUGAUGUGUAGGGAAUACUUAAAAAAAUCUGGUUUAGGUUUAGUUUAUGAGGAUUUUCUCCCUCACGAAUAUAACUCUAUGCUUCCUUUCAGCAUUUGAAGUGAAGAUGGAGCCCUUAGGAGAAAUAUAUUGUAGCUCAUUUAUGAAGAACUUUCAUUUUAUGUCCUUCCUGAGUGAAGGAGAAACUCUCUGGAGCGCUUUCAGUGAGAGUUCACCUUCCCAUAGGCAGACAACAAGUAAACCAACAUGAUGAUUUCAGAUAGUGGUAAGUUCUCUGAAGAAGUAAACCUGGAAAGGGAAUCAAGAGUGAUGGUGGGCACAGGUGUGGGGGGACACUUUUUGAGAUAGGGUGAUCCCUCAGGGCAGGUCUCUCAUAGUCUCUGAAACAUCAGACUUGUAGUCCUUUUACUUGCAAAUAGUCCCUUCCGGGUGUCAUCAUGCAGUGAGCUGGGGAGGUGAUUAUAUCUGUGUGCUGAGGCCAGAGGUAUCAUCCUCUCAAUAAUUUCAGUUCAGUCAUUGGCAUGAAAAAGGAAGGAGACACUGUUGAUUUCAGGAAGAAAAAUGGGCUUGACUUUUUUCUGUAGAGAAAUUAUUGAUGUUUCCAGUGGCCUCUUCUGC